Molecule: long non-coding RNA, 3122 nt
Filed under: Sorghum bicolor (sorghum)
Lineage: Eukaryota; Viridiplantae; Streptophyta; Magnoliopsida; Poales; Poaceae
Description: long non-coding RNA (SBIC_LNC008730)
Source: RNAcentral
CUACCGUGGGUAUACCCCAAGGUAGACUGCCGACCAGCUUUCGUCGACAGUGGCGCGCCAGGUAGGGGGUGUGCGUACAGCUCUCCCGACGAACAAGAUGGCCAUCAUCCCUGACUUCGCGGCCAUGGCGGGCGACUUCACGUUCACCGUCAGCUUCAACAACUUCACCGCCAUGACCACGGAGGAGGUGUAGAUCCGAUCUGCGCCAACCACUUCUUCAUCGACGUCGGCGGCGGCUUCAACCACGCUGGCUACGACUCCGACUACUCCAGCAACAUCUCCGACCACGCCGACAACGCGUCACCCGCUUCCCUGCUACAAAGGGAGGCAGAUCGACAACACCGACCUGCUCGGGCCAUCGACCAAAUUGUUUGGCCUACUUGCUCUGACCACCAGUCGCAAUAAUAAUUGCCGCGAAGAACGACGCUACGACAACAGCGACCACCGUCAUGACAAGUCGAAAAGCUCGAGGGCCGGACAAUUUUGUCGUCACCGACUAGACUUUCAUCCAAAGAUAAGUACACUUCUAAUAUCUUAUUUAUUUUUGGCAUAAUAUUUUUUAUCCUUGAAAAACAACUUUUUGUUUAGCCACACUAGUUUUUUCUCCUACACGAGCUUUCCAGAGCCGGUACUGUCUCCGACUCCUCCCUACACGUGCACGAGAUCCGCCCUCUGCGUUCCGGGUGGUCAGCAGUAGCUCUCUGGCGAUGCUGGCAAUCCCACGCGUGUCUAGGUUCCGCACCUCAUGCUGAUUGUUGGCUAGACCAGAGCUGGUACAAGCUCUAGGAUGAAUUAACUACUUGUGCUAAUUUUAUAACAAAAAAUCUAAAACUUAUCUCAGUACUGAUUUUUAUCUAAAGUUUAUUUAUACAUCAUGUACUACCUAUUCUUUAUAUUUAUUUUUCAGGGGUUUGGCCCAGUCGACAAGCUACGCUCGGGGACUCGUCGACUAUUCCCUACGCUGUGCCCGGGGACUGCUCCGACCACCGAGCACGUUUACGUUCCCAACCACGCUCGGGGACUUGUCGACUACUCUCUAUGCUGUGCUCGAAGACUGUGCCGACCACCGAGCACGUUUACGUUCCCAACCACGCUCGGGGACUUGUCCACCGGUCCCUACGCUGUGCUCGGGGACUGUGCCGACCACCGAGCACUAUACGCUCGGGGACUGGUCGACCAGCUCACCAAUUUAUAAACUUGGGGACUGCACCGACCACCGAGCACUAUACGCUCGGGGACUGGUCGACCAGCCCACCAAUUUGAGAAUUUGGGGACUGUACCGACCACCGAGCGUUAUAUGCUCGGAGACUGGUCGAUUAGUCUAUUCAAUUGCAGACGAGCAUGAUAUGCUCAGGGACUGGUAAAUUCAAUUUUUUAGACCUUGCUACAAGGCUCAUACUUCGCCUUCCAGCAAGCUCGGGGACUACAUCGGUACGAUGCAUCUGGCGAUGCAUCUCAGUUACAGAAUUUCUUUGAGGACUUUUAUUUUGACCCUGGCACCACGUGCCUACGUCACCUACUACCAGGCUCGGGGACUAAGUGGGCACACUUCACCUUGCGGUGAAUAUGCUUGCUAUUUUGAGGUCUAUACUUUUCAUAAAAGUAAAGUGGGCACACUUCAACAGGUAAGAAAUCUUUUUUAAUUAAGAGCACCAUGCAUUCUUCGAACAACCUGCUUCUUCGAUGUCAAUGUUGAUCAACUAUCUUUUGAGUUGGUCAAAAUACCGUUGCAACUGUUCGGGCGACUUUCCUGCUUAUUGAAGACGUCAAGCCUCACUGAUCGAAGAAGCUCAAGACGGCGUGUUACAUCACAAUACAUGGUGCUCGGGGACUAGCUGUGGGGGGAUAAACCCCUAUACCCUUACGGCUAGACUUCGGCCAGGAAGCUUGGCCCAUUACGAGACGAGUUCAAGGCUUGAUCCGACAACCUGGAGUUUCGCGCAAGGAAACAAGAUGUGGAGAUCAAGCAGGAUUCUAGUCGGUUAGAAUAGGAAUUGAUAUCAAAUUAUCCGUGGCAAUUGUAACCGACUAGGAUUAGUUUCCAGAUCUGUAACCCUGCCCUCCAGACUAUAUAAGGAGGGGCAAGGGACCCCCCUAGGGCACAUCACAUCACAUCAUAUUCUCUCAACACAAAUCAAUACAACCAGACGCAGGACGUAGGUAUUACGCCAACUCGGCGGCCGAACCUGGAUAAAAAGCUUGUCCGUGUCUUGCGUCACCAUUGAGUUCGUAGUUUGCGCACCGUCUACCGAUAAACUACUACCGUGGGUAUACCCCAAGGUAGACUGCCGACCAGCUUUCGUCGACAUAUCCAUGUUAUUCCCCGUGAAAUAAAUGCUCGAGAUAUUUUGGUUACUACCACUUGUUACAUUAUUCCAGGAGGGUGAGUGCUCUGAAAAAAAAGGGGCAAGUGCCCGAAACCUCGAAAAAAAGAAGAAGAAAAAAAAGAGAAAAAGUGAGGCGAGAGGUAAAAAUAGACAAGUGUCCGACAGUAGAAUUAGGGGUACAAGAUACCCACCUGAGAGAAAAGAAAAAUAAAACAUAGAGUGUCUUAUUCCCCUCAAAAUCCUCAAGUGCAAGAAAGGUAUGUACCCCCUCAAAAGAGCAAAAGUAGAAUUAGACUUUCACCAUUAUUUUCACAAUUAUCACCAUUCAUUCGCCACACAUGCACAUCUUGAUUUGACUUAUUGACUUGUUCUUCUGGAUCCAUGGUUUGACUAUGCAAUAAAUGUCUUGUAAGUAUGUAUACUUUAUCUCCCACCAAUGAGCUCUAGAUAUAAAAACCUUAUUAGAGUUGGGUGAGAGAGAAGGCAAUGUCACUAUGCCUCAUACCAAAAAUACCACAUACCUUGAGAGAAGGCAUAUACCAUUACUGCCUUGGUAAGGAUCUAGAAAUACCACAAAAGAGAGACUAGAGAGAGUCAUAUAACGAAUCUAUGAGUUUUAUUUGAAAAUCUGCAAAAACUCCAGAGCUAUAGUUAAUCGAAGAACAAGAGAUAUGGCGCUUGAAUAGACCGUUCUAUCUUUUAACUGCUCAAGACAUAAGUGACGGUUGCAAGCCCCAUGGUGGAAGGUAAAAUAAGUAAGUUUAAAUCUUAACAGUUUACCCUAACCUAGAGAUG